Molecule: long non-coding RNA, 482 nt
Organism: Xenia sp. Carnegie-2017
Lineage: Eukaryota; Metazoa; Cnidaria; Anthozoa; Malacalcyonacea; Xeniidae
Exons: 2
Source: RefSeq, a predicted model, not a curated record
UUUACUACUUUUUCCAAUGAGGAGGAUGGACUUGUAAGCUUGCCAUAGGUCUUGAAAGAUGUUAAGCUUGACUUUAAUGAACCUUCAUGACAGUAUGAGUGGUCAGGCUAUGUAUCCACUGAUAUAGGUCUGUACAUCAUCAUGCCAAAGAGUGGAACUGUUUAAUAAUGCUGCAACUCUCCUAUCAACAUUUUGUGUCUCUUCAGCUAGCUUGCUUUCACUUACAACAGAGCAGUUGGCAGUUGCUGGGACUGUCAUGUAUUGAACAAAGAAAUAUCAGUAGUUUACUUAUCCUUGUACGUAAGUGUCAUAAAAUGAACCAACUGAGCAGUAUGAUACAAUUUUUGUCAGAAGUCAUUAGUUGCAUGUUAAUAAUGUGAUGCAAUUUAGACAUUUGCAGUUAUAAAAUUGUAUUGCCAUUGGAAACAACUGGUAUCAUAGAUGGUGUUGUAGCUAUAGCAUAAUAAAAACAUAUACUAUAA